Molecule: ribosomal RNA, 529 nt
Filed under: uncultured bacterium
Lineage: Bacteria
Description: partial 16S ribosomal RNA
Rfam family: Bacterial small subunit ribosomal RNA
Source: RNAcentral
GAUGAACGCUGGCGGCGUGCCUAAUACACGCAAGUCGAACGAAACUUCUUUAUCAUCGAGUGCUUGCACUCACCGAUAAAGAGUUGAGUGGCGAACGGGUGAGUAACACGUGGGCAACCUGCCCGAAAGAGGGGGAUAACACUUGGAAACAGGUGCUAAUACCGCAUAACCAUGAACACCGCAUGGUGUUCAUGUGAAAGGUGGUUUCGGCUACCGCUUUCGGAUGGGCCCGCGGCGCAUUAGCUAGUUGGUGGGGUAAAGGCUUACCAAGGCAAUGAUGCGUAGCCGAACUGAGAGGUUGAUCGGCCACAUUGGGACUGAGACACGGCCCAAACUCCUACGGGAGGCAGCAGUAGGGAAUCUUCCACAAUGGGCGAAAGCCUGAUGGAGCAACGCCGCGUGGGUGAAGAAGGUCUUCGGAUCGUAAAACCCUGUUGUCAGAGAAGAAAGUGCAUGAGAGUAACGGUUCAUGUUUCGACGGUAUCUGACCAGAAAGCCACGGCUAACUACGUGCCAGCCGCCGCCGUAA